RNAcentral lists this ribosomal RNA (506 nucleotides) under uncultured bacterium. Its description in RNAcentral is "partial 16S ribosomal RNA". It matches the Rfam family "Bacterial small subunit ribosomal RNA", at positions 29 to 523 of the family's 1533-position model. The record is from RNAcentral.
AGUGAACGCUGGCGGUAGGCCUAACACAUGCAAGUCGAACGGCAGCACAGGAGAGCUUGCUCUCUGGGUGGCGAGUGGCGGACGGGUGAGGAAUACAUCGGGAUCUACUCUGUCGUGGGGGAUAACGUAGGGAAACUUACGCUAAUACCGCAUACGACCUACGGGUGAAAGCAGGGGACCUACGGGCCUUGCGCGAUUGAAUGAGCCGAUGUCGGAUUAGCUAGUUGGCGGGGUAAAGGCCCACCAAGGCGACGAUCCGUAGCUGGUCUGAGAGGAUGAUCAGCCACACUGGAACUGAGACACGGUCCAGACUCCUACGGGAGGCAGCAGUGGGGAAUAUUGGACAAUUGGCGCAAGCCUGAUCCAGCCAUACCGCGUGGGUGAAGAAGGCCUUCGGGUUGUAAAGCCCUUUUGUUGGGAAAGAAAUCCAGCUGGCUAAUACCCGGUUGGGAUGACGGUACCCAAAGAAUAAGCACCGGCUAACUUCGUGCCAGCCGCCGCGGUAA